GUUUUAAUAAUUUAAAUAAAAUAUUGGUCUUGUAAACCAAACUUAAGAAUUAUCCUUUUAAAACU
RNAcentral lists this transfer RNA (65 nucleotides) under Cryptopleurum minutum. RNAcentral describes it as "tRNA-Thr". Lineage: Eukaryota; Metazoa; Arthropoda; Insecta; Coleoptera; Hydrophilidae. The record is from RNAcentral.